GUGCUCACUUCGGCAGCACAUAUACUAAAAUUGGAACGAUACAGAGAAGAUUAGCAUGGCCCCUGUGCAGAGAUGACACACAAAUUCAUGAAGCGUUCCAUAUUUUU
This is a small nuclear RNA of Loxodonta africana (African savanna elephant), 107 nucleotides long. NCBI's taxonomy places the organism in Eukaryota, Metazoa, Chordata, Mammalia, Proboscidea, Elephantidae. The record is from Ensembl.